Long non-coding RNA from Aedes albopictus (Asian tiger mosquito), 2583 nucleotides. RefSeq lists it as uncharacterized. The transcript is spliced from 3 exons. NCBI's taxonomy places the organism in Eukaryota, Metazoa, Arthropoda, Insecta, Diptera, Culicidae. The record is from RefSeq and is a predicted model, not a curated record.
AUCUAAACCGAAGAAGCAAACUGAGCAAUGGUUCACUGUGGAUGCGUUCCAGUACGUAGAGAAUCGCAAGGGUAAUCUCAAUCUUUUCUACCAAGGAUACGAGUAUUUACGGAGACGUGUUGCUGACCAAGCAACCAUGUGGGAAUGUAACAAGAAGAGAACCUGCGGGGCACGAGCCGUAACCCGGAAUGGCAAUCAAAUCAAGCUUAACAAGUUUCAACACAAUCAUCCGCAUUCGCGGCUGGCACGUGGUCCGGUUAUUGUACCCGCCGUUAAUCCGGUGCCGAUCAUGUACAAGGACGAGCCUCUGGAUUUGAAUGCUCUUGACGAGGCGAUUUCGUAGAGUGCUUAGUAACAAUUAUAUCUGUCAAAGCAUGCUGUAUUAUUAUAAUCUAGUACGUUCUAAAUUUGGGUUAACAACAAACAAAUAAAUCAAACAUUCCGUCUGAAAUCUAGUACUUCAUUUCAACCAGUACACCAACCUUUGAGAACGUCACUAAUCAAUUUCCUGAUUUCCAUUCCAGAUUUCUACGUUCGGUACGUGACCGGUUUCAGGGGCAGUCGCAAACUGAAGGUGGGCGAGUUCAGCUUUACCAAAAACAAGGAGUGUGCAAACAAAACGUACUGGUCCUGCGCCAGGGCUGGCAUGAACAAAUGCAAAGCGCGGGUGCUGACCUAUACGCUGAAAAAUGGCGAAGAGAAUCUGGUGGUACGCUAUCCCACGCAUAAUCACGGGCCGUUCUAGUACUGCACUGUAUGAUAACAUUAGCCAAUGGAAGCAAGCAUUAAGAUUAUGGAAUCAAACUGAUUUUGCACAACAUAUUUGCUUGAAGGAUUCCUGUGGCUGGUAGAACGAUGAUUUCCAUUCUCGAUCAUGAACUAUUAUAUCCAAUCAAUGAUCUUUUUAGCGGAAUAUGAAAACUGGUAUAAUUAACCACACAUUAAGUUGAAAAAAAAAACAGAAAAUUCGAUAAAUGCAUUAAGUAAAUAACUAUCUUGUUACUAUUAUUGUUAAAAUAUUAUUAAGUUGACUCGCAUGAACAUUAUAAUCAUGAACUAGUACUGCAUGCUUAACACUUUAUUGACAAAAGGUGUUAUUUCAUGAUUCAUGGAACACGUGUGUAUGGAACUAUGUACUACAUAGUCGUGUGUGAUAAUCUAGUACUUCAUCAUAUGCUUUUUCGCUUCAAUCCCGUUACAGCCUCGCUGAGUACGAGUUUCAUGCAGCAAUUUCAACCUCAAACACUCCUCUCGUCGCCUCAGUUCACCUUUAAAACAUCCCAACGGAGCGGCCGGCAUCUGCUGGUGGUAAAUGGGGUAACAUUCUUCCGGAAUCGCCAUCGCAACAACAAGCAGUACUGGAAGUGCAACCAGUACUACAAGUGCAAGUGUCCGUGCAUUGUCGUGAUCGAUGAGAUCAACUCGCGCAUGAACGUGAAGCAUGUUCACAACCACGAUACGUCGUCGAGUGCCGCCGGUGGUGGUGCUAGUAAAAGAAAUAGUCUUCUUCCGCCGAUGUUAGAUCCAAGUACUUCGGCCUUGGCGGGGUCAUUUCUAAACGAUAGCUUACUGGUUGGAAGUAACAGCGCACUGGUUGCCGCUGCUUCAUUUGCCCAAACUGUGCAAUCUAGAGGGUUUAUGAAUAAAAGAUAAUAAAAUGAGUAUUACGAAAUGUGAUUUUUUGCUACAGUGCAUCCAAUCUAUUCUUAACAGAAGACGCUCCAAAGUCUACGCAAAUAACCUGGAGCAGGUGUCGGACAUGGAGGUAGCCCGGUUCGGACUAAGUCAACGCAAGGCCAAGAAGCUGCUCUAUCGGGGGUUCGAGUACGUCAAAGAUCGAGACUUCCCCGACUCGACUAAUUGGCGGUGUGCUUUGUUCCGGCAUCAGAAAUGCCGCGCUCGUGCGAUAACCACUGUCAUCGAAGGCGUUACCUACGUAAGGCUGACCAACGACCAACACAAUCAUGAUUUACAAAUGUAUCGCAAGGCUUCGCUACUAAUGCCAAGGGAGGGGCAAUGAAUAGGCGGGAGGCAGUUCUGCUGAAUAGGAUUUGACAAAUUCUGUAAAUCCCUCUAGUACUUACAAUAUCACGCUGUAAUGGACAAAUAUAUUGUUCACUACUCAUUUGGAUGUUUCAGUAACUACUGGAAUUUAAGCUAAGUUAAACAAUAAUUACACAUUGUAUAUUUAUUUGUUGCAGGUUGGAACACGAACACACGGAGUGCUGCUAGCCACAGAAGGAAGAACAAGUCCAGAUUUGUAGGUAGGUCAAUGUACAGUGAUCACUGUUUCAAAAUUAGCAUCGAAUGAUCAGACUUUUAAAACUAUUUAACUAUUUGACGCAUUGGAAGAAUGUUCUGUCACACACACUUUAACUCAAGUAACAAUUUUUAGUCAAAUAGACUUGAUGAGGUUCUAAGAGCCAUCAGGUUCUAAGAGCAAUUAUAAUAAUUAAAAGGAUGAGGUUUUAUGAUGGUUCUCAAAGCCUUUACAGGACUAAUAAGCCAUCAAAUUGUAACUUGAGACACACUUUUCAUUCAACAAACAAAUUAUAUGUACAAUUCUGCAUAUUAUUCGCCACA